AGUGAACGCUGGCGGUAGGCCUAACACAUGCAAGUCGAGCGACAACAUAGUAAGAUUGUGCCCUUACGGGUAGCGACUGGCGGAUGAGUAAGGCAUACAUCGCAAUCUUCUUUGACUGGGGUGAUAACGGGGGACCACUGAUACUAAUACCGCAUAUGUCGAACCGCUUGAUUCAAUAGUUCUUCACGCCUUUGCUGAUUCUUAUAGCCGGUGCCGCAUUAGCUAGUUGGCGGGGUAAAGGCUCACCAAGGCGACGAUACGUAGCGUACCUGAGAGGAUGAUCGGCCACACUGGAACUGAGACACGGUCCAGACUCCUACGGGAGGCAGCAGUGGGGAAUAUUCGGCAAUGGGCGAAAGCCUGACCCAGCCACACCGCGUGGGUGAGGAAGGCCUUCGGGUUGUAAAGCUCUUUUAUUAGGGAAGAAGAGCUGCAGGUGAAAACACGGAUGUUCUGACGGUACCGAAAGAAAAAGCCCCGGCUAACUACGUG
RNAcentral lists this ribosomal RNA (492 nucleotides) under uncultured bacterium. Its description in RNAcentral is "partial 16S ribosomal RNA". It matches the Rfam family "Bacterial small subunit ribosomal RNA", at positions 29 to 507 of the family's 1533-position model. The record is from RNAcentral.